GUACUCUCUGGCAAGGGGGACACCAUGAUCAAGUAUGUAGUUUUCCACAGAGGAGUUUCAUCCACUGUACUCAGGUGUGCUGACCCUUGUUAUUUCCCCAGAUGCAGGAAAGUCAACUGCAUAGUUUUUUUUUGUGGUGGGUGACUACAUUUGCACUCUCCCCUG
Molecule: small nuclear RNA, 165 nt
Organism: Melopsittacus undulatus (budgerigar)
Lineage: Eukaryota; Metazoa; Chordata; Aves; Psittaciformes; Psittaculidae
Gene: U1
Rfam family: U1 spliceosomal RNA
About the family: U1 is a small nuclear RNA (snRNA) component of the spliceosome (involved in pre-mRNA splicing).
Source: Ensembl